GUGGGGAAUAUUGCGCAAUGGGGGAAACCCUGACGCAGCAACGCCGCGUGAGUGACGAAGGCCCUCGGGUUGUAAAGCUCUGUCGAGAGGGACGAAAACAUCCUGGUCCAAUAGGCCGGGAUACUGACGGUACCUCUAAAGGAAGCACCGGCUAACUCCGUGCCAGCAGCCGCGGUAAUACGGAGGGUGCAAGCGUUGUUCGGAAUUACUGGGCGUAAAGCGAGUGUAGGCGGCUCUUUAUGUCGGGUGUGAAAGCCCUCGGCCCAACCGAGGAAGUGCGCCCGAAACUGGAGAGCUUGAGUACGAGAGAGGAGGACGGAAUUCCCAGUGUAGAGGUGAAAUUCGUAGAUAUUGGGAAGAACACCGGUGGCGAAGGCGGUUCUCUGGAUCGAUACUGACGCUAAGACUCGAAAGCGUGGGGAGCAAACAGG
RNAcentral lists this ribosomal RNA (431 nucleotides) under uncultured bacterium. RNAcentral's name for it is "bacterial SSU rRNA". It matches the Rfam family "Bacterial small subunit ribosomal RNA", at positions 354 to 776 of the family's 1533-position model. The record is from RNAcentral.